This 330-nucleotide unclassified non-coding RNA is filed under the name uncultured Basidiomycota. Its description in RNAcentral is "sequence contains 5.8S rRNA gene, ITS2, 28S rRNA gene". The stretch from base 1 to 52 matches the Rfam family "5.8S ribosomal RNA", at positions 103 to 154 of the family's 154-position model. The record is from RNAcentral. Lineage: Eukaryota; Fungi; Basidiomycota.
AACGCACCUUGCACUCUUUGGUAUUCCGAAGAGUAUGUCUGUUUGAGUGUCUUGAAUCUCUCAACCCCCCCUGUUUUGUAAUGAGACAGGCGCUUGGGCUUGGAUUAUGGCUGCCUGCUGGCUUGUAAUGAGCCGGCUCAGCUGAAAUACAAGAGUAUUCCCCGUUUCAUUAGACGAACGGCUUGUACUUGGCGUAAUAAUUAUUUCGUCGAGGACGUUCAACUUUUUAAACGAUCGGUUUGCUUCUAACUCGUUUCCAAUCCUUUAACUAGGAUUAGAACACUUUUAAGCUUAGACCUCAAAUCAGGCAGGGCUACCCGCUGAACUUAA